GGAUCCUACUGUCUCCCCCCUCUAAUCAGUGAAACUGAUCUCCCCGUGAAGAAGCGGGGAUAUACAUAUAAGACGAGAAGACCCCAUGGAGCUUUAAACCUGACAGCACCCGCUCAUUCUAUACCCCAUUAUUUGCCCGACCCCUGUCUGCUCAGUUUUAGGUUGGGGUGACCACGGAGUAUAAAAUAACCUCCAUGAAGAAGGGGAUAUUUCCCUUAUUAGAGAACCACACUUCCAAGAACUAAUAAAUUAAUUUUCAAUGACCCGAUACCCGAUAAUCGAUCAACGAACCAAGUUACCCUGGGGAUAACAGCGCAAUCCACCCUGAAAGCCCUUAUUAACAGGUGGGUUUACGACCUCGAUGUUGGAUCAGGGUAUCCCAGUGGUGCAGCAGCUACUGAGGGUUCGUUUGUUCAACGAUUAAAACCCU
RNAcentral lists this ribosomal RNA (430 nucleotides) under Boophis quasiboehmei. RNAcentral's name for it is "partial 16S ribosomal RNA". It matches the Rfam family "Bacterial large subunit ribosomal RNA", at positions 2008 to 2597 of the family's 2925-position model. The record is from RNAcentral. Lineage: Eukaryota; Metazoa; Chordata; Amphibia; Anura; Mantellidae.